GCAGCGGCCGAGCGUGCGGACGCCCCGCCAUGGCUCUGAGGCGCAUCGUUUCUGUGUUGUGCACCGGCACUCUCCGCUUCGCCCCGCUGUCCACCGCGCCGGCGGCUCGGGAGCAGACUGCCGCAGGCCGGGAGGCCGUGCCAGGAUGUGGGGCCGCCGAGGCCGCGCGGCCGCCGGUGCCCGUCGUGGACUUCGGCAACACUCAAGAGGCGUACCGCAGCCGGCGCAGCUGGGAACUGGUGCGCAGCUUGCUGGUGCUGCGCCUGUGCGCCUCUCCCGCGCUGCUGGCGCACCACGAGCAGCUGCUCCAUCUCACCAGGAGACUUCUGGGGCAAAGGCUGUUCGAAAAGCUGAUGAAGAUGACCUUCUACGGGCAGUUUGUGGCUGGCGAGGACCAGGAGUCCAUCCGGCCCCUGAUCCGGCACAACAGGGCAUUCGGAGUGGGCUCCAUCCUGGACUACGGGGUGGAGGAGGACCUGAGCCCCGAGGAGGCUGAGCGCAAGGAGAUGGAGUCCUGUACGUCCGCUGUAGAGAGGGAGGGCAGUGGUACGAGUAAGAGGGAGAAGCAGUACCAGGCCCACCGGGCCUUUGGAGACCGCAGGGAUGGUGUCAUCAGUGCCCGAACCUACUUCUAUGCCAAUGAAGCCAAGUGUGACAGCCACAUGGAGACAUUCUUGCGCUGCAUUGAGGCUGCAGGCGGAGCCAGUGAUGAUGGCUUCUCAGCCAUCAAGCUCACUGCACUGGGGAGACCUCAGUUUCUGCUGCAGUUCUCAGAUGUGCUGACCAAGUGGAGACGAUUCUUCCACCAAAUGGCUGCAGAGCAAGGGAAGGCUGGUCUGGCUGCCAUGGAUACGAAGCUGGAGGUGGCUGUGCUACAGGAAAGUGUGGCAAAGAUGGGCAUCGCCUCCAGGACGGAGAUUGAGAACUGGUUUACUGCGGAGACCCUGGGCGUGUCUGGCACCCUGGACCUGCUGGACUGGAGCAGCCUCAUUGACAGCAGGACCGAGCUCUCCAAGCACCUGGUGGUCCCUAACAUGCAGACAGGACAGCUGGAGCCUCUGCUGUCACGGUUCACUGAGGAGGAAGAGCUGCAGAUGACGAGGAUGCUGCAAAGGAUGGACAUCCUGGCCAAGAAAGCCGCCGAGAUGGGCGUGCGGCUGAUGGUGGACGCCGAGCAGACCUACUUCCAGCCGGCCAUCAGCCGCCUGACCCUGGAGAUGCAGCGCAAGUUCAACACGGGGAAGCCACUCAUCUUCAACACGUACCAGUGCUACCUCAAGGACACCUAUGACAACGUCACCCUGGACGUGGAGCUGGCUCGCCGCGAGGGCUGGUGCUUUGGGGCCAAGCUGGUGCGGGGUGCAUAUAUGGCCCAGGAACGUACCCGCGCCGCAGAGAUUGGCUAUGAGGACCCCAUUAACCCUACGUAUGAGGCCACCAAUGCCAUGUACCACAGGUGCGCCAGCCCUCCUUGGCCCCCAGGGCCUCAUGGCUUCCUGGGCAGGGAAUGAGAAAACAGGGCCGGGGUGCUGGCACUGACCCCACAAGACGCCCAUCUGAAGGGGGAGCAGGAGUGAGACUUACACUUGAGGCCAGAACUGAUUAUCUCCUCUGCUUUUAACUUACUGUUUAUUUUUUGAAUCCUCUCUGCUGUUCUACCCUUUCCAAAAACUAUUAAGGUGCAUUUUUAGGACGGAAAAGCCUACCGAAUAAAACCAAACUGGCCCAGGCCCCCCAGCCAGCUCUUGUUGACACUUAGGACAAGGGAGAUGCCCCGAGUGGCCCUCCUGACUUGUAUACAGCCCAUUUGCUUUUCAUAUUACACACCGGGGUCAUCAGCUGUUCUGCAUCUGCUUUUGGUCUGUUUAUCUUGCUAACAUUGUCAUGCAGCAGGGACAGGCGGAACCUGUGCUUUUUCUCUAGGAGGUCAGACCCCUGGCGUCUGCCUGGCUCCUGCUUUCUCCCCGGCAGUACCCUGCUACUUUGCCAGAGCUUCUGAGUAUACCAUGUGUGUACCCGCGUCAGCUUUGGUAUUGUGUAUUCAGCCCCGUGCUCUUGCUUUUCCAUGUAACACCCGUCUGGAUCCUCCCGUGUCGGUGUGCGGGCCCCCGGUGUCAACCCAGCAGCUAGCAGCAUGCCCAUCCCCGUCAUGACGCAAGUGACCUGUAGCACACCUUGUCCCCGUGUUCUCACGGGCAGGGACACAGUUGUGGCACAUUCCUAGCAGCCAAAAUGCUGGGUCCAGGACAUGCACCUUUGCUGCCAGAUGGUAGCACCUUCACACCGUGUGCGGGGGAGGCCCCCCACUCCCGCCAGGCCUUUGAUUUCCUUGUGGACCCCUUCCCAGAAGCGAAGGUGUACGUGUCACGGGUGCCGGGGGCACCGUGCCCCAGCUAGUCCCCUGUCGAAUGUCUAGCCCUGGGUGCUGCUCAUGUUUUCUUUCUUACCUGCGAGGUGCUGAGGAAUGUCAAGUGCAGCCGUGGUCCUACUGCUGUGGCCAUGCUUGGGAGGAGUGGGCUCGCUGGAUGGCCCUGGGCCUGCCUGUGGCCCCUGCAGGUUGGGGCUUAUGUGGCACUCCCCCCAGGUGCCUCAACUAUGUCCUGGAGGAGCUGAGGCACAACACCAAGGCCAAAGUAAUGGUGGCCUCCCACAAUGAGGACACAAUUCGCUUCACGCUGCGCAGCAAAAGUUUGGUAGGAUCCAUACAAGUCAGAUAUAGGAAUAAGGUGAAGUAAAUUCUUAAAAUAUUCCAAUGUCAUUACCACGUUUUUGUGUUUUCCAUCUUCACCCAGGCAGCACCACACGGGGCGGGGGGUGGAGGGGGUGUUUCUAGCCCCAGUCGGCACCUUCCUGGGCUGGAGGCCCCACACAAAGCAUGGCGGCAGUGGCCCUGCCGGCCCCAGCCUUUCCCGGGAGCAGAGCAGGGCACCCAAGGCUUGUGGCUGAGCUGGGCUCUGGGAAGGAGGGAUGAAGGAACGGCCAGGCUGGGCAGCUUUGGGGCGCUGCCUGAUGAGCUGACUGGUCACUCCACACCCACUGUGACGAGGCUCCCUCCCAAGAGUCCCUGCCAGGGUCCGGUCUGACUGCUUCUGUGGGAUGGGUGGGGGGGCCGAGUGGAGUCCCAGCUGGACAGGACUGUUCCGCCUUCUCUCCAUCCCUAGGGACUUCCCAGGCGCUCAUUUCCUGCCUCAGAUGCCCCAUCCUUGUCAUUGGAUGUCAGAGGGCCAGGGGCACCUUUUGCGCUCAGCGCAAAAAGAAAAAAAAAAUAGAUUUAGCUUGACUUUUAAAACAAACACCUGAUUGAGUUGUAAAUCUUAAAACCUGUUUUCCCCUUAGACUUAAAAAUAUUACUCUGUGACGGAAACUUGAUCAAAGCUUGAACCCUCGGGCACCAGGGUCCUCCACUAGACGAGGUACAUCAAGAGACUCCCGGACCCCUGGCCCAGCACUUGGGAACCUGCACCCCUGCACAGUGGCAGGCCCGUGUGGGUCAGCGGUAUGGAAGGUGGCGCUCUCUUAGGUUUCAGUUACGAGCUCAGCCGGCUCUGGUUGGCCACUCACAUUUAACGCAGGGAUCACAGGUAGUCCACUCAGACACCAGCUACACAGAGGACAGUGGGACUCUGAGAGGUGUAGCCUGUCCUCAGAAGGGCUUUCCUGCCUCCUGUCUUCUGAAUCUUCCCACCCACAACAUGUCUGUUUUCACCAGCCUGCUGCCCUGGACAUGGCUUCCCCCCAUCCAGAGUGCCAUCUGAGCACGCUCUCCUCUCUCAUGGCCCCCUGGGCCCGUGCCAGGCUCCACAAAUACCACUGUCGUGGAGAAGGCUCAGCCCCCUACAGUCCAUGGUUCUCUGGAGCCCACAGCAGCUUGGGCUGGCCCUCCCCGAGGAAGCGGUAUAGGUCUCUGAUGCCACAUCGGGGAUCUCAGUCUGAACAGCUUGGGUCAGCUUUGGCCAAGUGGCAAACCAACCCCAAACUCAGAGGCCUGAACAGCAGUGUAUCCCGUGGGCCAGCAGGGUGGGCUGGGCUCAACUGGGGGCUGCUUUUGCUGGCCUUGCCUGCGGUCUGUCUUGCAUCUGCGGUCAGCUGAGGCCUGACUGGACCUAAAUGGCUUUUCAUUGGCACAUCCUCAGUCCCUCCACCCGACUGGGUCUGUGUCAGCAAAGGGGACUGCAUCACAUGUCCAGUUUCCAAUAGGCCAGGCCAGGCUUUGCCUCAUGGUGGUCUCAGGCUUCCAGAAGCCCCGGAGAGGGCAAGCCUCUGCCCACAUCACAUUUGCUAUUGUCCUGUUGGCCAGAGGAAGUCAGGAGGCCCAGCCUAGAUGGCAAGUGGAGAGCCCCCAUCUGCUGGGGGGGAGCUGCAGUCACAGGGCAGAGGGUGCGGAGGCAGGUCAGCAGCCAUGCCUGCGGGAGGCACCGGCAUGUCCCUGCCGCCAGUUGUCAGGAGGCAGCCCUGCUCUAACAGGGUUUGUGGUCCAGGGGGGCCCAAAGAUACCUAAACCAGAGACCAGGGCAACACGGUAGAGAUUGUGGCCUGCGUUAGACUGGGUGGCCCUCACUCUGGAGCCGGACUCUGAGGGAAGGAGGAAAAGGGCUUGUGUGAGGACCCUCAUGCCAGGGGAGCGCGCUCCUGGCCAACAGCCUGGGUGCGUGUGAGGAGAACCCAGGCUGAACGUGCCCCUGGAAGGAGGCGGAAGGAUGAGGGCAGGUUCCAGAGCGCUGGUGCAGAUAGGUUGAGUCUGGACACGUGGAUACAGGAAGCUGGAGGUAAAAAAUGUGGAAAUCCUCAGCAAGUAGACAUUUCAAACCCUGGGAAUUUUUGUAAGAUCCUAUGAGGGGAGGUGUGAGGACAGAUGAUGCUGGACAGAGUUGGGGGCCACCCACCCCAACAUCUGAGCGGCGCUAAUAGAAACGUGAGUUUCAUCUAAUCUAAAUGUUCUCCUACACAAAAAAGAUAGUUAAUUUCAAUAAUACCUUUCACCUGGCCCAGCAUACCCAAAAUAUUACCUGUAUUCAGCAUUUCAGAAAAAGAAUACAUUUUUUCCAGAGUUUCAAAAUUCCAUGUGUGUGUGCUAUUUGCAGUCCAUCUGUUUAGGCCAGCCGACUUCUAAAAACUCCGUGGUCACCAGUGGCUGGUGCUGCUCUAUGGGACAGAGCAGCCGGCAAGGGGAGGACAAGAGACCCAGUCGGGUGGAGGGACUGAGGGUGUGGCACUGAAGCAGAGGGGCUCAAAAUGGGGCAGGGGAGGGCCUCUGAGAGCCUCCCCAGGGCACACCUUGGGGCAGGCUUGCCUUGCUGGGUCAGGGCACCAGAACAGAGGUCGGGACAGACAAGACGGAAGGGAGAGAGAACACAGGGGAAGGGGGAGGACGGAACUUGGUAGCCAUAGGCUAAGGUGGGAAACAGGGCAGAGGCCUGGUUUGGGCAGCACAGAGCCUACACCCCUGCCCAUACCGCAGGGGAUGGAGGCUAAAGUGUAUGCUUGAGGAUCUGGGAGUGGCAGUCAGGGAGAAGGGGCGGUGCGGGGUUCACCUGCUCCACU
RNA transcript from Zalophus californianus (California sea lion), 5541 nucleotides. It is a transcript of the gene named proline dehydrogenase 1, mitochondrial, with no coding region annotated. The record is from RefSeq and is a predicted model, not a curated record. The transcript is spliced from 12 exons. Lineage: Eukaryota; Metazoa; Chordata; Mammalia; Carnivora; Otariidae.